This 66-nucleotide transfer RNA is filed under the name Chanohirata hamata. Its description in RNAcentral is "tRNA-Leu". The record is from RNAcentral. Lineage: Eukaryota; Metazoa; Arthropoda; Insecta; Hemiptera; Cicadellidae.
UCUAAUGUGGCAGAGUAGUGCAAUGAACUUAAAAUUCAUACAUAAAUUUUCUUAUUUUUAUUAGAA